RNAcentral lists this ribosomal RNA (405 nucleotides) under uncultured bacterium. Its description in RNAcentral is "partial 16S ribosomal RNA". It matches the Rfam family "Bacterial small subunit ribosomal RNA", at positions 30 to 526 of the family's 1533-position model. The record is from RNAcentral.
AUUGAACGCUAGCGGGAUGCUUUACACAUGCAAGUCGAACGAGUGGCGGACGGGUGAGUAAUAUAUCGGAACGUGCCCAGUAGCGGGGGAUAACUACUCGAAAGCGUGGCUAAUACCGCAUACUUAUGGAGCGGCCGAUAUCGGAUUAGCUAGUGGGUGGGGUCAAGGGUCACCAAGGCAACGAUCCGUAGCUGGUUUGAGAGGACGACCAGCCACACUGGGACUGAGAAACGGCCCAGACUCCGACGGGAGGCAGCAGUGGGGAAUUUUGGGAAAUGGGGGAAACCCUGAUCCAGCCAUCCCGCGUGUAUGAGAAGGCCUUCGGGUUGUAAAAUACUUUUGGCAGAGAAGCGGUAUCUACAGAAUAAGCACCGGCUAACUACGUGCCAGCAGCCGCGGUAAUUC